UGAAGGAAGCAUAUCGGGCCC
Molecule: non-coding RNA, 21 nt
Filed under: Arabidopsis thaliana (thale cress)
Lineage: Eukaryota; Viridiplantae; Streptophyta; Magnoliopsida; Brassicales; Brassicaceae
Source: RNAcentral